Long non-coding RNA from Scophthalmus maximus (turbot), 566 nucleotides. RefSeq lists it as uncharacterized. The transcript has 3 exons. NCBI's taxonomy places the organism in Eukaryota, Metazoa, Chordata, Actinopteri, Pleuronectiformes, Scophthalmidae. The record is from RefSeq and is a predicted model, not a curated record.
UCCAGGGCCCCUCCCCCCACAACACAUGAACGCCCACCGCUGCCUGAGUCUGACUGCAUCGGAGGAGGAAGACAUGAGCGGAGCAAAACAUGCUAACUGACUGCUCAUGGCUCAUUCACAAGUCAGAGGACUGAGCUUGGAGCAGUGACGUGACACGAGCUUGUGUCUACAGUAACUGCCCACAGACAAAAUAAAGUGCUGUGGGCAACUUCAUAACUCCUGUGUCCAGGCUGCCACAUAUGCAGGCCGGUUUUGGCCCAAGUGGGCGGUUCUGCAGCAUCUCAGCCAUCGCCAUGUUGCCAGGGCUAGACUCCUCCUUUACCUGGCUAAUCCAAAUAUGGACAUAGAGGUGGGCCGAAUGCAGACCAGUCGCUGAAACACGCACACCAACGUCCAAGCUUACCAGUAAUGUGGUAAUGUGAGCUCCUGUACCAGUCAUCCCAACCAACGUUACACGUGGUACGUAACACUGGAACUAUAAAGCAACGCUUGGAAUAAGUCUUAAACAUGACUUUUUUUAUAUUUGUACUUGUAGUCUUAGUUAUUAUUGUUGUUUACUUAUUUAU